CCCUUGACUGACAAGGACUCGUGUUACUCGAGCUGAAGAACUUCAGGCCAGGAGGUCAAGUCCGCUGACAUAUUUCUGUGCCUUGAGAAUGGAGUCGCCUCUCUGCUCUCUGCAUUCAUCUCCUUCCAYGUCAUGCCAUG
Long non-coding RNA from Nothoprocta perdicaria, 140 nucleotides. RefSeq lists it as uncharacterized. The record is from RefSeq and is a predicted model, not a curated record. Lineage: Eukaryota; Metazoa; Chordata; Aves; Tinamiformes; Tinamidae. The transcript has 2 exons.